CCUACGGGAGGCAGCAGUGAGGAAUAUUGGUCAAUGGCCGCAGGGCUGAACCAGCCAAGUCGCGUGAGGGAUGACGGUCCUAUGGAUUGUAAACCUCUUUUGUCAGGGAGCAAAGGGCGCCACGUGUGGCGUUUUGCGAGUACCUGAAGAAAAAGCAUCGGCUAACUCCGUGCCAGCAGCCGCGGUAAUACGGAGGAUGCGAGCGUUAUCCGGAUUUAUUGGGUUUAAAGGGUGCGCAGGCGGAAUGUCAAGUCAGCGGUAAAAUUGCGGGGCUCAACCCCGUCGAGCCGUUGAAACUGGCGGUCUUGAGUGAGCGAGAAGUAUGCGGAAUGCGUGGUGUAGCGGUGAAAUGCAUAGAUAUCACGCAGAACUCCGAUUGCGAAGGCAGCAUACCGGCGCUCAACUGACGCUCAUGCACGAAAGCGUGGGUAUCGAACAGGAUUAGAUACCCCGGUAGUC
Molecule: ribosomal RNA, 459 nt
Filed under: uncultured bacterium
Lineage: Bacteria
Description: partial 16S ribosomal RNA
Rfam family: Bacterial small subunit ribosomal RNA
Source: RNAcentral